CUUGCUUCUCUGCUGACGAGUGGCGGACGGGUGAGUAAUGUCUGGGAAGCUGCCUGCUUGAGGGGGAUAGCGGAGCGAAAGUUCCGAUAAUACCGCGUAAGCCCGAGAGGGGAAAGUGCGGGACCGCAAGGCCGCACGCGAGCAGAUGCGCCCAGAUGGGAUUAGGCAGUUGGGGAGGUAAUGGCUCACCAAACCGAUGAUCUCUAGCUGGUUUGAGAGGACAAUCAGCCACAUUGGAAUUGAGAAACGGACCAAACUCCUACGGGAGGCAGCAGUGGGGAAUAUUGCACAAUGGGGGAAACCCUGAUGCAGCCAUGCCGCGUGUGUGAAGAAGGCCUUCGGGUUGUAAAGCACUUUUGCAUUCGAGGAAGACAGCGUAUAAACAAAUGCGCUAUUUGACGUUAGAGUGUGAAUAAGCACCGGCAAACUCCGUGCCAGCAGCCGCGGUAAUACGGAGGGUGCGAGCGUUAAUCGGAAUGACUGGGCGUAAAGGGCACGCAGGUGGCGAGAUAGGUUGGAUGUGAAAUUCCCGUGCUUAACAUGGGGACUGCAUCCAAAACUGUUGAACUGGAGUACUGUAGAGGGAGGUAGAAUUCCACGUGUAGCGGUGAAAUGCGUAGAGAUGUGGAAGAAUACCAG
This 639-nucleotide ribosomal RNA is filed under the name uncultured rumen bacterium. RNAcentral's name for it is "bacterial SSU rRNA". It matches the Rfam family "Bacterial small subunit ribosomal RNA", at positions 79 to 712 of the family's 1533-position model. The record is from RNAcentral.